UACGGAGGGAGCUAGCGUUAUUCGGAAUUACUGGGCGUAAAGCGCACGUAGGCGGCUUUGUAAGUUAGAGGUGAAAGCCUGGAGCUCAACUCCAGAAUUGCCUUUAAGACUGCAUCGCUUGAAUCCAGGAGAGGUGAGUGGAAUUCCGAGUGUAGAGGUGAAAUUCGUAGAUAUCUGGAAGAACACCAGUGGCGAAGGCGGCUCACUGGACUCGUAUUGACGCUGAGGUGCGAAAGCGUGGGGAGCAAACAGG
This 253-nucleotide ribosomal RNA is filed under the name uncultured bacterium. RNAcentral's name for it is "partial 16S ribosomal RNA". It matches the Rfam family "Bacterial small subunit ribosomal RNA", at positions 524 to 776 of the family's 1533-position model. The record is from RNAcentral.